RNAcentral lists this ribosomal RNA (884 nucleotides) under uncultured bacterium O11D12. RNAcentral describes it as "bacterial SSU rRNA". It matches the Rfam family "Bacterial small subunit ribosomal RNA", at positions 510 to 1398 of the family's 1533-position model. The record is from RNAcentral. Lineage: Bacteria; Pseudomonadati; Pseudomonadota; Gammaproteobacteria; Oceanospirillales; Halomonadaceae.
AGAGCCGCGGUAAUUCGGAGGGUGCGAGCGUUAAUCGGAAUUACUGGGCGUAAAGCGCGCGUAGGCGGUCUGAUCAGCCGGUUGUGAAAGCCCCGGGCUCAACCUGGGAACGGCAUCCGGAACUGUCAGGCUAGAGUGCAGGAGAGGAAGGUAGAAUUCCCGGUGUAGCGGUGAAAUGCGUAGAGAUCGGGAGGAAUACCAGUGGCGAAGGCGGCCUUCUGGACUGACACUGACGCUGAGGUGCGAAAGCGUGGGUAGCAAACAGGAUUAGAUACCCUGGUAGUCCACGCCGUAAACGAUGUCGACUAGCCGUUGGGGUCCUUGAGACCUUUGUGGCGCAGUUAACGCGAUAAGUCGACCGCCUGGGGAGUACGGCCGCAAGGUUAAAACUCAAAUGAAUUGACGGGGGCCGCACAAGCGGUGGAGCAUGUGGUUUAAUUCGAUGCAACGCGAAGAACCUUACCUACCCUUGACAUCGUGCGAACUWGGUAGAGAUACCUWGGUGCWNCGGGAACGCACAGACAGGUGCUGCAUGGCUGUCGUCAGCUCGUGUUGUGAAAUGUUGGGUUAAGUCCCGUAACGAGCGCAACCCUUGUCCCUAUUUGCCAGCGAUUCGGUCGGGAACUCUAGGGAGACUGCCGGUGACAAACCGGAGGAAGGUGGGGACGACGUCAAGUCAUCAUGGCCUUACGGGUAGGGCUACACACGUGCUACAAUGGACGGUACAAAGGGUUGCAAGACCGCGAGGUGGAGCUAAUCCCAGAAAGCUGUUCUCAGUCCGGAUCGGAGUCUGCAACUCGACUCCGUGAAGUCGGAAUCGCUAGUAAUCGUGAAUCAGAAUGUCACGGUGAAUACGUUCCCGGGCCUUGCACACACCGCCCGUC